UAAGAUUUCAAAUGUAACUGCGUUGACGGAUUUUAUUUUUAUCAAAUGCACUGUUAUUUUCUUCAUCGUAAUUAUCAUUUUACCGAUUUGACUCUUCAGUAUGAUGAUCAUCUUUACACACAUCGCGAUCAUCAUCAAUUUUGGGGAUAAAACGUAUGUGGUUUAUCCGAACUUUGUACCAUCCGACUAGUAGAAAUCAAUACUAUCGGCCACCUCCUCUAAUCACUGUGGUCGUCGUGUAAAGAUAUUAACAUGUACUAUUGUAGUGUAACUACUAUAGUUAUUAUUAUCGUUUGGUAAGUACAAUUUAAGUACGAUUUUUUCGUUCGUUGACGUUAUUCU
This is a non-coding RNA of Cinara cedri, 342 nucleotides long. Lineage: Eukaryota; Metazoa; Arthropoda; Insecta; Hemiptera; Aphididae. The record is from the annotation of a GenBank genome assembly.